Pelobates cultripes (western spadefoot toad) is the source of this 270-nucleotide non-coding RNA. Lineage: Eukaryota; Metazoa; Chordata; Amphibia; Anura; Pelobatidae. The record is from the annotation of a GenBank genome assembly.
GCCACUGCUGAUUGACAUUGCACAUUGUUCCAUAGUUUGUUGUCUAUAACAAUUCCCAAGUCCUUUUCGUGUGUUGUUAUCCCUAAUUCGCUUCCAUUAAGGGUAUACGUUGCUUGUGUAUUCUUUACGCCGAAGUGCAUAACUUUGCAUUUUUCAACCUUAAAUUUCAUCUGCCAUUUGAGUGCCCAGUCCCUCAGUCUAUCUAAAUCCCUCUGCAGCAAAGUAAUAUCUUGCUCACAUUGUAUUAUUUUACAAAGUUUUGUGUCAUCU